Molecule: ribosomal RNA, 469 nt
Filed under: uncultured bacterium
Lineage: Bacteria
Description: partial 16S ribosomal RNA
Rfam family: Bacterial small subunit ribosomal RNA
Source: RNAcentral
GACGAACGCUGGCGGCGUGCUUAACACAUGCAAGUCGAACGGAAAGGCCCUGCUUGCAGGGUGCUCGAGUGGCGAACGGGUGAGUAACACGUGGGUGAUCUGCCCCUUACUUUGGGAUAAGCCUGGGAAACUGGGUCUAAUACUGGAUAGGACCAUGCUGUCGGUGGUGUGGUGGAAAGAUUAGUUUCGGUAAGGGAUGAGCUCGCGGCCUAUCAGCUUGUUGGUGGGGUAAUGACCUACCAAGGCGUCGACGGGUAGCCGGCCUGGGAGGGUGGACGGCCACAUUGGGACUGAGAUACGGCCCAGACUCCUACGGGAGGCAGCAGUGGGGAAUAUUGCACAAUGGGCGCUAGCCUGAUGCAGCGACGCCGCGUGGGGGAUGACGGGCUUCGGGUUGUAAACUCCUUUCAGCCAUGACGAAGCCCUUGUGGUGACGGUAGUGGUAGAAGAAGCACCGGCUAAAUACGUG